Molecule: ribosomal RNA, 504 nt
Filed under: uncultured soil bacterium
Lineage: Bacteria
Description: bacterial SSU rRNA
Rfam family: Bacterial small subunit ribosomal RNA
Source: RNAcentral
AGAUUGAACGCUGGCGGCAUGCCUUACACAUGCAAGUCGAACGGUAGAGUAGCAAUACUUGAGAGUGGCGAACGGGUGAGUAAUAUAUCGGAACGUGCCCAGUCGUGGGGGAUAACGUAGAGAAAUUUACGCUAAUACCGCAUACGAUCUAAGGAUGAAAGCGGGGGACCGUAAGGCCUCGCGCGAUUGGAGCGGCUGAUAUCAGAUUAGGUUGUUGGUGAGGUAAAAGCUCACCAAGCCGACGAUCUGUAGCUGGUUUGAGAGAACGACCAGCCACACUGGGACUGAGACACGGCCCAGACUCCUACGGGAGGCAGCAGUGGGAAUUUGGACAAUGGGCGAAAGCCUGAUCCAGCAAUGCCGCGUGCAGGAAGAAGGCCUUCGGGUUGUAAACUGCUUUGUACGGAACGAAACGGUCUGCUUUAAUACGAGUGGGCUAAGUGAACGGUACCGUAAGAAUAAGCACCGGCUAACUACGUGCCAGCCAAGCCGCGGUAAUCGUGA